AGAAUUCUGGUGAAAAGGUUCAAUCUGUACUGCCGUAUCACCAACAUCUGUCUUGAGGUGGUGAGCCAACAUGAUAAAAUGAGAAGCAUUACUUUCAGAGCAGCUUUCUUAGUAUCUCCAAUACUGUGUUAAAUGCAAGUUUAAACUUGCAGUACACUUACAGCAGGCUAGUUGGCAUGGGAGAAAGAAGACAGGAGCUCCUGAAAUUGCUGCGGAGACCGGCUUCAGAGCAGAUAAUGAAUACCAAUUCGUGAUGAUCAGUUCUACCUGGUUGACAGAACCUAGCAGUUUUUCAUUGUCUCUGAAGUAG
This 310-nucleotide long non-coding RNA is filed under the name Phasianus colchicus (ring-necked pheasant). Its description in RNAcentral is "lncRNA (ENSPCLG00000002453.1)". Lineage: Eukaryota; Metazoa; Chordata; Aves; Galliformes; Phasianidae. The record is from RNAcentral.